Megalopta genalis is the source of this 3305-nucleotide long non-coding RNA. RefSeq lists it as uncharacterized. The record is from RefSeq and is a predicted model, not a curated record. NCBI's taxonomy places the organism in Eukaryota, Metazoa, Arthropoda, Insecta, Hymenoptera, Halictidae.
UACCCAACGAGACCGUGCACUAGACUAGACCACAGAGCAUUCUUUCAGAAAUGCAACUGUUGUCGGAAUCUUUGAUGCACGACAUCUCGACAUUUUUAACAUAAGCUUGCUAUAAGCAGUAAUUCAGUUGUAUUUCAAAUUGAUAUUUCCUUCCCUUUUUCUGGUCUACUGAAUCGGGGAGGAGAAAGACACCGCAAGCGAAAACUUUGAAACGAUCAAACGUAUAGUUCUGAAGCUACGUUCAUAGUGUACCGACAAACUUGUGUACGCAUGGGCGUUCGAGAAACCCCAAAGUUCCGUCUCUAGUAUCUACAAUCUGUGAUUUAAACUUUAAAGUAAAAUUUAAAGCACAGAUUAAUAUUUUCUCUCGAAAAUUAUUUUAUGUGUUCUCCAUUGGAUACUCGCACAGUUUUGCAAAUUUUGAAUGUUUUGCGAUCGCGUUUACUAACCGCUAAACAAUUCUCCCAAUAAAAAUUUCUUUACCAACGAUCCUUGCCGAAGCGCUUUGAAACAUUCGAAUUUUUCGCGCGUUGCUCGCGAAACGUUCAGUUGGCAGUUGUGGUAGACAAGCCUCCUCGUACUCGAUCGAAAACGUUCGAAUGUCGAAGGCACAGAACAACGUAUGCUUUUAAAACUCUGUAAUAUAUUGCACCGAGAGGAAAUUUAUUUAGAAUGAAGUCGUCGCAAUGAUUGGAAUUCCAUAAACGAAAUGUACGAUGGACGUUGAUUUAGGCAAGCAUUUCUUUAGGAAACGGAAUAGGCACCGGAAUAUUUAUUGUACAGAGCGUCAAAAAGGUCAAACAAAAAGUUUACAUAACGAAGCUUGCCGAUGCACAGCAUGACUUUACUUUUUAUUUGCGAAUGGACGACGUGGGUGGUGAAGCGUCCUUCGUACCGAAGAAUGCGUUACGAGCCAACGGAGAAUAUAUGAACGAAGGGCGAAACUUCGAGAGAUCCGCUGGUUCAACAUCGGGCAGCAUCCGCAUACCUCUUUAACGAGUCGUCUUCCGAAUCUUGCCAAGCGACCGCUGAUUUUCAAGCGCUUGGCAUCGAAGCGUAAUUGCCUUUGCACGCUCCACCCGUCGUUGUCACUUCCCCGCCCGAAGAUGUAUGUAUAUAGGGAACGAAGGAAACGGAGGAGACGUAGAGCAGGAGGACCGCGCGGACAACAUGCCACAACGACGAUGACCACAGCAACGAUGACGAGGGAGGAUGCGCUGGCAACGAAAAUAUUUCGGACUGAAUAAAUUCACUCACUACUUCACAACUUAUCCGUUGGCCGUUCUUCACACGCGUUGCCGCGCCGUUUCGAAACAGGGAUCGCCUGAAUGAAAACUGAACGGCCUACACCGCUCCGAGAUCUUGACACUCGAAACGAAGAUCUUGCACCGAUUCACGGCUGAUUGAUUACUCUCCCCAUUAUUUCUAGACAGGGCGCGUUAGUCCCGAGAGUAUUAUCUAUCGAUACGCCACACGAUACCUAGUAGAUAAUGCGGAGUUAAUCAUGAAAUUGUCGGACAAAUCGUGCGAAUCGCCUGGCGGAUGCAAACUUCAUUAAAAAUUUCGAUUCGUUUAUGGGAAGAAUAUGAGAAAUUUUAGUCGCUGCUCACUGUUCAGUAAUUUUCGCGUUAAUAUCCCGUGACGAGACGCUCCGGCUUCGUAAAAAUUAUAAUAAUAACUUGCGUCAUCCAGCGAAAUAAGUUGUGCAGCUUGUUAUCUGCCAGUCGCGUCGUCACUUCACCACGAAAAUUAUAAUUGAUGCGUACGCGACGCCGCGCCGGUUCCGACAUUCUUGUGACAUUCGCGAGGUUAACGAGUUAAUCGGUGUAUCGAGCACAUUUAUGUCUUAGACUAAGAUUUGAUCUUCGUCUAGAAAUCUAUUUUUUCCCGGGAUGUACUUGAAAUUGCGAGGAAAUAAUACAUGUGUACCAUCACACACGGUGUCUGGAGAACCGCGUGACUCGUUGAUGAAUCGUUCGGAAAGAGACCGAGGACUCGUUAUAUUUUUAUCGGACCCUACUUCGGGGGUCUGGCCAGGUGGAACGCUUGUUGUAAUACUUCGCAGAUCGUGGUGGGCGGACGCAUCCGAGAACGACGUCGUGCCCGAAAAUUCCGCGUAGAUCCAUGUUGUUAUCGCGCAACAAUUUAUAACCAUUUGCGUUUGGCGGAUGGAUGGAUUUAUAUACGCAGGCCUUCGAAAUAAGACUUCCGUUUUGCGCCGCCGCACGAUGGGGCGGAAUCGACAUCCAUCGGAUAUCGAUUUCUGUUCCUUCUUAUAUCGAAGAUUCUGUUCGUUUACAGCUGUUUUCGCCUUCGAAUCUCGCGAGCGAGCGUUACAUCUGGUUACAUUGCUUAACGGAAUAUUCAUUUAAUUAUCUGCUCGGCGCAUAUACGUCUACGCAUCCACAGCGCAAUGUCCAAUUAUCGCACGUUUGAUUGAAGCAUUUCAAAUGGAACCGAGGCUACACGCUUUCAAUCGUCGCGAGAUCAUUUUGUCCUACUGUGCACCGUCUGCCAAAAACCUGCCAGGUCAGCUUUUCCGAUCUUAACGAAUUUAUGAAUGAACGCGAUUUACAUCGAAUCACAGUCCUCCGCGUUUGAUUCAUGCCUAAUAUUAAACGCUCGGCGGCACACGAGAGAUGGUCGAUCACGGAAUUAAGAGAUAGCCGGCCGCUUAUUCGAUUCUAAUUUCGAUUCUACGAGACGUGUCGUACCAGAAUGUCGGAAAUAAAUCUGAAACAGUUGUCAUAUACCGGCCGCGUCGACAAAGUAACCGCUACGCUUUGUCAGAGCCGGGACGCCGACGCUUCUCGCGUUGGAUUGAAAUUAAUAUGGCGCGAGUAAUUUUGGACGGCGAAACGCUUCGUUAAUUAUUUCGAAUGACGUGGGCCCGGUCGGGUAGCGAACGGUAAAAGAAACAAGAUCGAAGAUACACCGCUUUGAUUUCGUUCUCCAAAGACUAUAGGAAAAUACGAAUGUACGAACACGUUUGAGGGCAAGUGUAGGACUCAUAAGAAGGUUCCGAAUAGAAGUUGCAUCACCAAUUUGCCGAAGAUGCUAGCAGACUACUACCGAUUAGCAUAACUAAUUCUGCAUAGGCUCCUACAAUUUACCCGUGACUACACUUGCCGCGCUGCAGACAUUUAAUGGAAUUCUAAAAGCGUGAAAGAAAAAUGAUACCGGGGAAUCUAUCUUGAUUCGGGUAAUUACGAUAUAAGGGCUGCGAGUGGCCACCAGAAAGGUCUCGAUGCAAUUACGACGGCGACAAUUUAGCGUCGGCCUUCCGACACCGCGGAGGACUCACU